AUAUAUAUAUGCCUCCCUCUUUCUCAUUUCCACUUUAUCUUUUAGAGACCUACUUAGUUCCCAAAGAAGAGAGCUUUCUGCAUUCUAAGGGUUAUGCAGAGGUAGUCACAGAAAAUGAUUUUUUAACCUACAAGUUUCAUUUUUCUUGUAAUCUCAUGCAUAUUGAAAAUGCAGAGUUUAAUUCUAUUGCAUUUUUCAGAAUUCUCAAUCAUAAUCCUCUGAGGACUGUCAAAGAUUCAUCUCUUUUUAAAUUACCAGCAUUAAAAUAUCUAGACUUGGGACAAACACAUGUGCCACUUACAGCACUUGAGAACAUAGUCACAAUGGCUUUGGAAUUGGAAACAUUGUAAGUUAGUUUUGUUUUUCUUAGAUUUAUUCGACUAGGGUGUUUUGGUUAAUUUUUUUAUUAUUAUUAUUUUAGUUUGUUAGUACAUGUGUGUAUGUCAUAAUGAUUACAUUCCUUGGAGGAGGAG
Molecule: long non-coding RNA, 473 nt
Filed under: Chinchilla lanigera (long-tailed chinchilla)
Lineage: Eukaryota; Metazoa; Chordata; Mammalia; Rodentia; Chinchillidae
Description: lncRNA (ENSCLAG00000022738.1)
Source: RNAcentral